RNAcentral lists this ribosomal RNA (303 nucleotides) under uncultured bacterium. RNAcentral's name for it is "partial 16S ribosomal RNA". It matches the Rfam family "Bacterial small subunit ribosomal RNA", at positions 507 to 807 of the family's 1533-position model. The record is from RNAcentral.
AGCAGUCGCCACGGUAAUACGAAGGGUGCAAGCGUUACUCGGAAUUACUGGGCGUAAAGCGUGCGUAGGUGGUGGUUUAAGUCCGUUGUGAAAGCCCUGGGCUCAACCUGGGAAUUGCAGUGGAUACUGGGUCACUAGAGUGUGGUAGAGGAUAGUGGAAUUUCCGGUGUAGCAGUGAAAUGCGUAGAGAUCGGAAGGAACAUCUGUGGCGAAGGCGACUAUCUGGGCCAACACUGACACUGAGGCACGAAAGCGUGGGGAGCAAACAGGAUUAGAUACCCCUGUAGUCCCUGUCUCUUAUAC